CCCUGGUUAGCUCAGUUGGUAGAGCGCUCCACUUGUAAUGGAGAGGUCCCGGGUUCGAUACCCGGUCUCAGGC
This 73-nucleotide transfer RNA is filed under the name Ixodes scapularis (black-legged tick). It matches the Rfam family "tRNA". From Rfam's summary of the family: Transfer RNA (tRNA) molecules are approximately 80 nucleotides in length. Their secondary structure includes four short double-helical elements and three loops (D, anti-codon, and T loops). The record is from Rfam by way of RNAcentral. Lineage: Eukaryota; Metazoa; Arthropoda; Arachnida; Ixodida; Ixodidae.